CCUACGGGGGGCAGCAGUGAGGAAUAUUGGUCAAUGGACGAGAGUCUGAACCAGCCAAGUAGCGUGAAGGAUGACUGCCCUAUGGGUUGUAAACUUCUUUUAUAAAGGAAUAAAACGAGGCACGUGUGCCUUUUUGCAUGUACUUUAUGAAUAAGGAUCGGCUAACUCCGUGCCAGCAGCCGCGGUAAUACGGAGGAUCCGAGCGUUAUCCGGAUUUAUUGGGUUUAAAGGGAGCGUAGAUGGGUUGUUAAGUCAGUUGUGAAAGUUUGCGGCUCAACCGUAAAAUUGCAAUUGAUACUGGCAGUCGUGAGUACAGUUGAGGUAGGCGGAAUUCGUUGUGUAGCGGUGAAAUGCUUAGAUAUCACGAAGAACUCCGAUUGCGAAGGCAGCUUACUAAACUGCAACUGACAUUGAUGCUCGAAAGUGUGGGUAUCAAACAGGAUUAGAUACCCUGGUAGUC
This 460-nucleotide ribosomal RNA is filed under the name uncultured bacterium. Its description in RNAcentral is "partial 16S ribosomal RNA". It matches the Rfam family "Bacterial small subunit ribosomal RNA", at positions 338 to 795 of the family's 1533-position model. The record is from RNAcentral.